UUGAACUCAAAUCGGGUGAGACUACCCGGCUGAACUUAAGCAUACA
Molecule: ribosomal RNA, 46 nt
Filed under: Lactarius torminosus
Lineage: Eukaryota; Fungi; Basidiomycota; Agaricomycetes; Russulales; Russulaceae
Description: partial 25S ribosomal RNA
Source: RNAcentral